UCAAUUGGAGGGUACGUGAUAAUAUUUCCCUUUACACAUGCAUCUGUAGACAGUGGGACAUGACUCUGCAACAGAGCAUUUGAAGCUCACCAUCACCCUUUUGCACGGAAAACAUGGUCCACAUGCAUGGGAACAGUCUGGGAGGCUGGAUCCUGUAGGAUACAUUUAUUUUCUCACAAAAUGUUUGAUACGAAGUGGCGAGGAGACGAAGAAAACACAGUACCUCCUGGUGCGUUGAACUGCCGACUGGUCUCGAGUCGAUGCAUCAAGCCGUCUUCCAAUCAUUAGUAUGAUGAAGAAAAUCCAGAAAAGUAAAGUUUGAGCCACAAGUGGGAAUUUCUUCAUUGCUGUUUGAUAAUGCAAAAGCCAAAAGGAUAGAAGAAGUGGUAGAGAUGCUAAAGGAGGAGAAAUAGACUGCGAAGUUUGUUGGAAAUGUUGGUGACAGAUGAUUUAGUAUGCAGUGGGCACUUUAUGGUGUAAAUGGAAUAAAGGUUAGUUUUUAAUGUAGGAAGAGGUACAUCUGAUUCACCUCACAUGAUCCACGGCCCAUUUUGAAGGUUCACAUGUGUUGGCAAGUAAACUCAACAACUUCUGAAACUUUAAAUGAACUGUGGCAUUGGAUCUUAUACGUACGGAGGUGUUGAUAAAUGUUGCAUUCCAUAGAGGUGGAGGAAGGUUGAAAAUCAUUUUCAAGUCGAGCGGUCAUUUUCCAGUUGGAUAUUUUGCCAACAACAUUUUUCUAGAGUUCAAGGGUCUCGACUCUAGGGCCGCUUUUAGUCCUAAAUCUUUGGGGUUACUUUUUUCCAUAUAUGCUGGUUAUAUUUCUUUAUGUUAUUUGUAUCAGUAACGGGUUUAUAGAUGGUCUAGUUCUGAACCUACGUGUCCAUGACUUCGUUUUUCAGAAAUUCUUUUUCCUUGUCAGGAUCGGAACUUAGAAAAAUGGUUGGGACAACGAACCGCUCGAAGAGGGAAAUCGACUGACAGAAGACCUUUCUGUUUGUGGAUUCCCAACCCAAGGCAGCAUUGCACUCUAAUAAGUGAUUCUGUAAGUAACAAUCAGUCUCUCUAUAUGAUUAUCAAUGCUUGUUAAGUUUCUUUCACCCCUGACCUUUCAGCGCUCUUUUGUUGUCUUUUGAGGGAGGGGUGAAAGGAGGAUAAUAGUCCCAAGUGAAUGGGAAAUGGGGAAAUUAUUUAGGUAAAAUGGUUCUCUCUCUUGUUGUCUGCCUAAAGAACAAAAGUGCAGUAGGGUUUUAGUUGCUACCCGACAGAAGGAGUUCACGUGUAGUGUAGUGCAGUGGGGGAGCAGAAAUUGAAGAACACUCCUCCCUUUGCUGCUGGCAUUCAAUGAACUUCUGCAAUGUUUAUCAGUUUCUCAGACAUCAAUAUUUCCUUAAAAGUUUAGAAUUUA
Molecule: long non-coding RNA, 1408 nt
Organism: Cucurbita maxima (winter squash)
Lineage: Eukaryota; Viridiplantae; Streptophyta; Magnoliopsida; Cucurbitales; Cucurbitaceae
Exons: 5
Source: RefSeq, a predicted model, not a curated record